RNAcentral lists this ribosomal RNA (960 nucleotides) under Dinophasma saginatum. RNAcentral describes it as "SSU rRNA". It matches the Rfam family "Eukaryotic small subunit ribosomal RNA", at positions 416 to 1319 of the family's 1831-position model. Lineage: Eukaryota; Metazoa; Arthropoda; Insecta; Phasmatodea; Aschiphasmatidae. The record is from RNAcentral.
UCAAGAAGCAGCAGCGCGCAAAUUACCCACUCCCGGCACGGGGAGGUAGUGACGAAAAAUAACGAUACGGGACUCAUCCGAGGCCCCGUAAUCGGAAUGAGCACACUUUAAACCCUUUAACGAGUAUCCAUUGGAGGGCAAGUCUGGUGCCAGCAGCCGCGGUAAUUCCAGCUCCAAUAGCGUAUAUUAAAGUUGUUGCGGUUAAAAAGCUCGUAGUUGGAUUUGUGUCCCACGCUGUCGGUUCACCGUUCGUCGGUGUUUAACUGGCAUGCCCGUGUGGACGUCCUGUCGGUGGAUGCGGUCGGCCGUAGGCUUCGGUCUGCGUGUCGGCGGUCCGAUGCAAUCCUACCGCGGUGCUCUUUACCGAGUGUCGAGGUGGGCCGGCACGUUUACUUUGAACAAAUUAGAGUGCUCAAAGCAGGCAGUGGUUCGCCUGAAUAUUGUGUGCAUGGAAUAAUGGAAUAGGACCUCGGUUCUAUUUUGUUGGUUUUCGGAACUUGAGGUAAUGAUUAAUAGGGACAAACGGGGGCAUUCGUAUUGCGACGUUAGAGGUGAAAUUCUUGGAUCGUCGCAAGACGAACCUAAGCGAAAGCAUUUGCCAUGAGUGUUUUCAUUAAUCAAGAACGAAAGUUAGAGGUUCGAAGGCGAUCAGAUACCGCCCUAGUUCUAACCAUAAACGAUGCCAGCUAGCGAUCCGCCGAAGUUCCUCCGAUGACUCGGCGGGCAGCUUCCGGGAAACCAAAGCUUUUGGGUUCCGGGGGAAGUAUGGUUGCAAAGCUGAAACUUAAAGGAAUUGACGGAAGGGCACCACCAGGAGUGGAGCCUGCGGCUUAAUUUGACUCAACACGGGAAACCUCACCAGGCCCGGACACCGGAAGGAUUGACAGAUUGACAGCUCUUUCUUGAUUCGGUGGGUGGUGGUGCAUGGCCGUUCUUAGUUGGUGGAGCGAUUUGUCUGGU